UCAGAAGUGAAACGUAUUAGCGCCGAUGGUAGUGUGGGGUUUCCCCAUGUGAGAGUAGGACACUGCCAGGU
RNAcentral lists this ribosomal RNA (71 nucleotides) under Alteromonas macleodii. The record is from RNAcentral. Lineage: Bacteria; Pseudomonadati; Pseudomonadota; Gammaproteobacteria; Alteromonadales; Alteromonadaceae.